UUCUCGUCCCUGGUCAGCCCGGAAGUUGUUACGUCAUUUCCGUUGUAUCAGCUCCAGCGCUGAUCAGUGACGCGACG
Molecule: non-coding RNA, 77 nt
Organism: Branchiostoma belcheri (Belcher's lancelet)
Lineage: Eukaryota; Metazoa; Chordata; Leptocardii; Amphioxiformes; Branchiostomatidae
Source: Rfam